Molecule: ribosomal RNA, 253 nt
Filed under: uncultured bacterium
Lineage: Bacteria
Description: partial 16S ribosomal RNA
Rfam family: Bacterial small subunit ribosomal RNA
Source: RNAcentral
GACGAACCGAGCGAACGUUAUUCGGAGUCACUGGGCUUAAAGGGCGCGUCGGCGGGUUGCCAAGUUCGGGGUGAAAACCUCCAGCUCAACUGGAGAACUGCCUCGAAUACUGGUGAUCUCGAGGAAGGUAGGGGCAUGCGGAACUGUGGGUGGAGCGGUGAAAUGCGUUGAUAUCCAUAGGAACUCCGGUGGCGAAGGCGGCAUGCUGGACCUUUUCUGACGCUGAGGCGCGAAAGCCAGGGGAGCAAACGGG